CCACCUUCUUCCUAACUCGACAAUGGAUAAAUUGAGAAUCGUUUUGAAGUAUUUGGACCUCAAUACAACUUUUCCAAGAAUCCAAAUCCCACCAAAGUAACCUCGGGAUUCAACUUUAUAGGAGUAGUCAAAAUCAAGAUUAGAAAUAAUCCUAUUUGCCUUAACACCACUCACCCUUGUCUUAAGAAAAGAAGCUAUGUCGACUUCAUGUUCAUUAAAAUAGUCUUUGAUAACCC
RNAcentral lists this long non-coding RNA (236 nucleotides) under Gossypium barbadense (sea-island cotton). Its description in RNAcentral is "long non-coding RNA (GBAR_LNC008915)". The record is from RNAcentral. Lineage: Eukaryota; Viridiplantae; Streptophyta; Magnoliopsida; Malvales; Malvaceae.